RNAcentral lists this ribosomal RNA (393 nucleotides) under uncultured bacterium. RNAcentral describes it as "bacterial SSU rRNA". It matches the Rfam family "Bacterial small subunit ribosomal RNA", at positions 505 to 898 of the family's 1533-position model. The record is from RNAcentral.
GUGCCAGCCGCCGCGGUAAUACGGAGGGGGCAAGCGUUGUUCGGAAUUACUGGGCGUAAAGGGCGCGUAGGCGGUCUGUUGCGUCGGGUGUGAAAGCCCUGGGCUCAACCCAGGAACGGCACUUGAUACGGGCAGACUCGAAUCCGGAAGAGGAUGGUGGAAUUCCCAGUGUAGAGGUGAAAUUCGUAGAUAUUGGGAAGAACACCGAUGGCGAAGGCAGCCAUCUGGUCCGCGAUUGACGCUGAGGCGCGAAAGCGUGGGGAGCAAACAGGAUUAGAUACCCUGGUAGUCCACGCCGUAAACGAUGUGUGCUAGCCGUUGGGCAGCUUGCUGUUCAGUGGCGCCGCUAACGCAUUAAGCACACCGCCUGGGGAGUACGGCCGCAAGGUUAAA